CCGCCCUCCCAGACCGGGAGUGGGAUUCCGGUCCCCGGCGCCCCGACCCACACCCUGCCAUCCCACUGGGGAAGCUGAGGCGGGAGGGUUACGAGUUCACUCCCACCCGGACUGAGAGGCGCCGGGGCCCACGUCCCAGGGCUGCUCCGAGGACCGAGGCCCGCCCUGCCUGCUACGCCUCCUAGAGUGAGGCGCGCACUGCCGCACCUUAGCUGGGAACGCGCAGGCCGGCCAGUGUCGCAGAGGCGCGAGCGUUCCUUACCCGCUGCUCCGUAGACCGGGACCCGAACUUGCUGCGCAUUCUGCGGGCGUCCUCCUCGAGGACCCCGGCGUCGGGUCUGCCGCCCUACUCUUCGCCUGGCCCCAGUACUCACUGCGCUGCCGGCUCCCGGCCAUGCGCAAACCCAUUAGACGGUGUCUCAGGCCUCCGGUCUGUGCUGGAACUUGGGACCCUUCUGCCUCAGCCUCUCCGACAGCUGGGACCACCACGCGCCCUGCCCCAGCCGGCUCCCGCUCUCCCCGCAGCCGUCUUCACGCCCACCUGCCCGGUGCUGGUGGAACCCGCGCUCGGGACGCCGCUAUGAAGUCGGGAUGACCCCGGGUCCGGCC
Fukomys damarensis (Damara mole-rat) is the source of this 609-nucleotide long non-coding RNA. The record is from Ensembl. NCBI's taxonomy places the organism in Eukaryota, Metazoa, Chordata, Mammalia, Rodentia, Bathyergidae.